This 457-nucleotide long non-coding RNA is filed under the name Mytilus galloprovincialis (Mediterranean mussel). Lineage: Eukaryota; Metazoa; Mollusca; Bivalvia; Mytilida; Mytilidae. The record is from RNAcentral.
UUUUGGAGUUUAGUAUGAUGUCCAUUUUCACUUAACUAGUACACGUUUUUAUUAAGGGGCCAGUUGAGGAUCACCUCUGGGUGUGGAUUAUUCUUGCUGGGUGGUAGAUUCAUUGGUGGCCUUUAGCUGUUAUCUGCUCUUUGGUCAGGUUGCAGGCUCUUUUAGCAUAUUCCCGAUUUCAAUUCUCAAUUUUAUUCCAAGACUUGCAUCAUUUUUACUAAUUUCAAUGACAUUUCAGGGAUUGGAAUUACUGGAUUUAAUUUAGGCUUUUUUCUUGUUUUCAAGAAGAGUGGGAAUGCUUUAAGAAUUUAUUUACAACUCUUUAGACUAAGGGUAAUUCAAAGCUAUAUAGGAUAUAGAAGCUUGCCAGCUAUUGAAAGACAGUAUAUAGAUGUGUUUUGGUGUUUAAUUGGAUUUUUCUCUCAAUACAUCCAACAUCUCCUUUCAUUAAAUACUA